RNAcentral lists this ribosomal RNA (464 nucleotides) under uncultured bacterium. Its description in RNAcentral is "partial 16S ribosomal RNA". It matches the Rfam family "Bacterial small subunit ribosomal RNA", at positions 339 to 795 of the family's 1533-position model. The record is from RNAcentral.
CUACGGGUGGCUGCAGUGGGGAAUAUUGCACAAUGGGCGCAAGCCUGAUGCAGCCAUGCCGCGUGUAUGAAGAAGGCCUUCGGGUUGUAAAGUACUUUCAGCGGGGAGGAAGGGAGUAAAGUUAAUACCUUUGCUCAUUGACGUUACCCGCAGAAGAAGCACCGGCUAACUCCGUGCCAGCAGCCGCGGUAAUACGGAGGGUGCAAGCGUUAAUCGGAAUUACUGGGCGUAAAGCGCACGCAGGCGGUUUGUUAAGUCAGAUGUGAAAUCCCCGGGCUCAACCUGGGAACUGCAUCUGAUACUGGCAAGCUUGAGUCUCGUAGAGGGGGGUAGAAUUCCAGGUGUAGCGGUGACAUGCGUAGAGAUCUGGAGGAAUACCGGUGGCGAAGGCGGCCCCCUGGACGAAGACAAACGCUCAGGUGCGAAAGCGUGGGGAGCAAACAGGAUUAGAUACCCGGGUAGUC